Molecule: long non-coding RNA, 2545 nt
Filed under: Homo sapiens (human)
Lineage: Eukaryota; Metazoa; Chordata; Mammalia; Primates; Hominidae
Description: HSALNT0204745
Source: RNAcentral
GUUAUACUCUAAAGUUUUAUAGCUUGGUAUUUAUAUAUUUAGCUCUAUGAUCCUGUUUGAUUUGAUUUUUGUGAAAGAUGUAAGGUCUCUGCCUAGAUUCAUUAUUUUGCAUCUAGACUUCCAGUUGUUCCAAGGGUAUCUGGUGAAGGGACUCUACUUUUCUUUAUAAAAUUGCCACUGUCCCUCUGUUAAAGAUUCACUGACUACAUUUCUGGGCUCUUCAUUCUCUCCCAUCGAAUACCAGACUGUUGUGAUUAUUGUAGCUUUACAGUAAGGCUUGAAAUCAGGUAAUGUCAGCUGUCUGACUAUUUUCCUUGUUUAAAUCCAGUAUUGCAGUGGUUAUUUUGGGUGUUUUGCUUUUCUAUAGGAACCUUAGAAUCAGCUGAGAUCCACAAAAUACCUUGUUGGGAUUUUGCCCAAAAUUACAUUCAGUCUACAGAUCAGGUUGGGAAGAGACGAUAUUUUAACACUAUUUAGUCUUUCUAUGUAUGAAUUUGGAACAGCUCUGCACUUAUUAAGAUCUUUCCUUGAUUUCUUUCAUUAGCAUUUCAUUGUUUUUCUCAUAUAGAACUUGCAGAUAUUUUCUUAGAUUUAUAUAUCAGUAUUUAUUUUUGAAUGCUAAUGUAAAUAGUGCUGGCUUUAAAAAAUCAGAUUCCUACUGUUCAUUGCAUGUGUAUGGCAGAGAAACUAUCUUUUGUAUGUUACCCUCAUAGUCUGCAAUCUUGCUAUGACUGCUAAUUAGUUCCAGGAGGUUUUUAUUUGUUUGUUUGUUUAUUCUUUGGGAUUUUCCACAUACAUAGACAAUUAUAACAGCUGCAAACAAAGACAGUUUUACUUAUUCCUUCUUCUAGUUUUGUACAAUUAAUUACAAUGUUCACUGUAGGAUUUGUUUUUGUUUUCUUUUAGGUGUUCCUUAUCAAGUUGAGGAAAUUAUCUCUAUUUCUAGUAUUCUCAUUGUGAAUGAGUGUUGGAUUUCAUCAAAUAACUUUUCUGCAUCUACUGAUCUAAUCCUAUGACUUUUUUCUUUAGCCUGUUCAUGUGAAUGAUUACAUUAAUUGAUAUUUUAAUAUAGAACCAUCUUUCCAUAGCUGAAAUUAGUCCCAUUGAUGAGAAAUUGUUUUUUUAAAUAUGGCAAUAAAUGCUAUUGUAUUUAUUUCCCUAUUUUAUUGUUAGCUUAUUUUAUGAUUUUAAAAUGAAUUAAAUUUUAGCAGCCAAACAAACUUUGUGUGUGUGAGUGUGUGUCCAUGUAUAACCUUUCAAAAAGCACACUGUUAAAUGAGAGUGAAGUAGCUAGAAGUUAAUUGGCAGUGAUGUUAAGUUCAAGGGCAAACCUUCAGUGUUUUCUGUGUUUAUAUUAAAAAGCCACUUUUUAAAAUGCUGAGAACACCUUAAAGAGUUGUAUAUGUAGCAUCUCUUUAUAAAUGAAAGUGGCAGAGUUAAUAUAUCACUGUCUUUUGAGAAUAUUCUAUUUUCUUAUGUUAAGGUGCUAUUACAAAAGUGAACAUCUGGAAGGGCCCCUGGGAUGUGAUGUUACAUGUUUUCCUUCAUGCUUCUUAUUUGUCAGUCAUUUACCUGGCUUUGUGUUUCACUCCCUAAAAAAUGCAUCGCCUCUCCUGCUGUGCUUCUUGUAAUCAUGAAGGAGCUGCCAUCUAAGUGAAUAAAUAGUCUCUUUUCCAGGUGAUUAAUUAAGAUCCAUACAUUCUUCCAACCACAGAUAAGAAGUAACAGAUGCUUCACACACUGUGGCAUCAGAGUAUUAGUGAGGACCACUAGCUCAAAGAAAUUGGGCCAAUUAACAAAAAUGCUGGUGCCCAGAAGCAUGUGCUAUGAUAUUUAUAGAUCUUGAAAAGGAUAAUCUCAGACCUAACUCUUAGAUAUUUAUUAUUAUUCUGCAAUGGUUUUGUAUUGAUGAAAUGUCAUUGAAGAAAAUUGCAUUGAAAAAGUCAACAAAAAUAAAUGCAAGCCACAUUUUGUUCCUAGAUGUGUAAGACCCAUAAUUCAUGCAACUGCUGUAUCCAAGCAACAUAUGCACUUCAAAUGAACAUCAGGAUGAACACCCUAAUAGACAAGGAACAUGGAUGGAGCUGGAGGCUAUUAUUCUCAUCAAACUGUCCCAGGAAGAGAAAACCAAAUACCACAUGUUCUCACUUGUAAGUGGGAGUUAGAUGGUGAAAACUUACAAAGAAGAAAACAACAGACACCUGGGUUUACUUGAAGGUGGCGGGUGGGAGAAGGGAAAGUAACAGAAAAAAUAACUAUUGGGUACUGGGCUUAAUUCUUGGGUAAUGAGAUAUUCUGUACAACAAAUUUCCAUGACAUAAGUUUACCUGUGUAACAAGCUUUCACAUGUACUGCCGAACCUAAAAUAAAAGCUAAACAAAAGGAAAUGUGCUAAUAAUGUACUCCUUCAUCAUCCCAUUCCUAUGUAAAUAUUCAAUAAAGCAAAAUUUCUUCCCAACCUCAAAUAUAGGAGUUCAUUAUUAUCCGUUACCCAUAUACCAUAGGUUAGCAUGUGAUGAUAAUUGGUGAUAAUAAUAGAUGCUAU